Aethalodelphis obliquidens (Pacific white-sided dolphin) is the source of this 639-nucleotide non-coding RNA. Lineage: Eukaryota; Metazoa; Chordata; Mammalia; Artiodactyla; Delphinidae. The record is from the annotation of a RefSeq genome assembly.
AUGUCCUGGACCAGUGCCCCCUUCAUGGGCUUUUGCACAGCUGUCAGCUCCCAGCCUGCGGUGACCCAGGAGCUCUCCCUCACGGUGUUGUCCGGACUGACAGUCACCCUCACCGGCUCUGGGAACAUGGCCACCCUAACCAUUAGCGGAGUCCGGGCUGAGGACGACACUGACUAUUACUAUCAGUCAUAUGACAGCAGUUAUAAUCAUGUGGUCUGCGGUGGCGGCUGCCCAGAGACCGUGGCAGGUCAGCCCAAGUCCUCGCCCUCAGUCACUCUGUUCGCGCCCUCCACUGAGGAGCUCAGCGCCAACAAGGCCACACUGGUGUGUCUCAUCAAUGACUUCUACCCGGGCAGCGUGACGGUGGCCUGGAAGUCAGGCAGCACCACCAUCACCAAGGGCGUGGAGACCAGCCAGCCCUCGAAACAGAGCAACGGCAAGUACGCGGCCAGCAGCUACCUGGCCCUGACGGCCAGCGAGUGGAAAUCUUAUGAGAAGGGGGUCAGCUGCCAGGUCACGCACGAUGGGAAUACCGAGGAGAAGACAGUGUCGCCCUCCGAGUGCUCUUAGGUCCUGGUCCUCACAUCCUCAGGGGACUGGAGCCACAGGACCCCUGGAGGGUCUACCCACCCACCCUGG